UACGUAGGUGACAAGCGUUGUCCGGAUUUACUGGGCGUAAAGAGCUCGUAGGCGGUUUGUCGCGUCUGCCGUGAAAGUCCCGGGGCUCAACUCCGGAUCUGCGGUGGGUACGGGCAGACUAGAGUGAUGUAGGGGAGACUGGAAUUCCUGGUGUAGCGGUGAAAUGCGCAGAUAUCAGGAGGAACACCGAUGGCGAAGGCAGGUCUCUGGGCAUUAACUGACGCUGAGGAGCGAAAGCAUGGGGAGCGAACAGG
Molecule: ribosomal RNA, 254 nt
Filed under: uncultured bacterium
Lineage: Bacteria
Description: partial 16S ribosomal RNA
Rfam family: Bacterial small subunit ribosomal RNA
Source: RNAcentral